UUCCAUUUCAGACUGAAGAUGGUUCAGGUCGGCAUCCAGCUUCUUCUUUGUAUUGAUGAGACUUGUGUUCUGCAGGAAAAGACAAUUUUUGAAAACGUUGUGUGGAAUACCCAAUGUUAAUAUCAAACCACAAUGCAGUUUCAGCACUCUUCAGAAGAGGUUUGAUCUUGAAGUACAGUUGCAUCCAUGGCCAGUGUUUGACAUUUGUGAAUGCACGGAUGUUGUACUGCAGAGUAUACAGUGCUUCCCUAAAGGCAAAGUGAAAUGAACAGGAGAGAGAGAAUACGGGGAAAAGGGAGUAAACUUCAAUAUUUAAUCACAUGGUCAUGGAAAUCCUAGUCAACAAGAGGGAGGCCCUGUGAAGCAGGACCAGGACAAUUCCAGGCGCAACAGGAUUCUGGUAGAAAGUGGUUACUUCUGCCCUGUUCCUCACAGGAACUGGCUUUCUCUCUGAAUAGAGGAAGGAGAGAGCAUUGCUGCCCCCUACUGCUAUUAUUUUAACGGUACAAGAGCACAUAUGGCAGUUUGUCAAAAAAUAUUACCGGUGGCAGGAAAUGGGGAAUUUGACCCUUUAUUCCUGCUCCACUAUUCAAUAUAGUUAAAAGGAAACAAGCUAACACAUUUGUUCUUAAAUCUGAGCUUGUUCUACCUAUGAGCAUUCAGAUCUUCUGCUUUGCUUAAUAUUCAUUCAUAUAUGAUGAAGAGUGUAGUUUAUUAAUGGGGCAAUUAAUCUUUCACCUCCAGGUGCACACAUUGUGUGGCUUUAUCAAGUAUAUAAGUGAUUUACUGGACCAGUGGAGAACUUCAUAAAUUAAGUAAGAGGCUUUUCAAUGUUGCUCUGAAAAGAAGCAGAGCCCUUGGCCUAGAUCUUUUGUCAUGUAGUCUGUGAACCCAGGGCACCACAGUAGCACAGCAAUUAGCAUGAGACACUAUAACAGCUCGGGGCACUCUGGAGUUCAGAGUUCAAUUCCAACAGCAUCUGUAAGGAGUCUGCACGUCCUCCCUGUGGAAUGCAUAUGUUUUCCCUGGGUGCUCUGGUUUCCUCCCACAGUUCAAAGACAUAUCAGUAGGUUAAUUGAUCAUUGUAAAAUUGCCACAUGAUUAGGUUAGGGUUAACUGGGCUUGUUGGGGGUUGCUAGGGUGGUGUGGCUUAAAGCUGGAAGGGUUCUGUUUCGAAAGGAACCCUACUCCUCAGUGUAUCGUAAAAUAAAAUAAAUCCAGGAACACUUUUGUUCUCUUUUCUUGCUAUUUACGUUUUAUAUAUUAUUGUAAUUUAUAGUAGUUUUUAUUAUUGUACUGUACUGCGGCUAUUGCAAAACUACAAAUUUCAGGACAUAUGUCAGUGACAAUGAACCUGAUUCUGAUUAUAAUUACCCUAUUCUGUCUGUGUGAAGUUGCUUGUACUCCUUGUAACCUUGUGGGUCUUGGAGAAUGGAGUUGAUCAGCCAUAAUCAAGUGGUGGAGCAGACCCAAUGGGCUGAAUGGCCUAAAUCUGCUGCUAUGCCUUGUGGUCUUUUGAAGAUUAACGCAGUUGCAAAUGUAGUUGCCAGGUAGUUGCUCUGUGGAUUGAGCAUGUCUGGGCAUUUCAUACCUGCUCAGCACUUAAGCACAGAUUUCUGUUUAUCAUAAUGGCAUAUAAUUCACAUGUCCUGUACCUCACAGGUGUAAAAUGCAAAUGACAGCAGCCACUCAAUUCAAAAGGCAGGUGAGACAGGACACUCUGCAUGUAGCCCACCAGUACAAGUGGUUAUGAAGCCCAGAAAGCACUUUUACUGAUGUGUAAUAUUUUUACCUAUCCUUUUUUCUUAUGUCCUCAUUGAUGGAGAUGUCAUUUGGGUCUCCUACCACUCUAUCCUGAUCCAAUUUCUUUCCUCACUAACUCUAGUCAAUUGUAACUUAUUAUCCCAUUCCUAGCUGAAUAUGUUCUUUCCUCACCUCAGUAUACUGAUUCAAUCCUCUAUUUUGCAGCUCCUAAC
Molecule: long non-coding RNA, 1976 nt
Organism: Hypanus sabinus (Atlantic stingray)
Lineage: Eukaryota; Metazoa; Chordata; Chondrichthyes; Myliobatiformes; Dasyatidae
Exons: 3
Source: RefSeq, a predicted model, not a curated record